Small nuclear RNA from Echinops telfairi (small Madagascar hedgehog), 164 nucleotides. Its record names the gene U1. It matches the Rfam family "U1 spliceosomal RNA". Rfam says of the family: U1 is a small nuclear RNA (snRNA) component of the spliceosome (involved in pre-mRNA splicing). Its 5' end forms complementary base pairs with the 5' splice junction, thus defining the 5' donor site of an intron. The record is from Ensembl. Lineage: Eukaryota; Metazoa; Chordata; Mammalia; Afrosoricida; Tenrecidae.
AUACUGACCUGGCAGGGGAGGUCCCAUGAUCACGAAGGUGGUUUUCCCAGGGCGAGGCUUAUCCAAUGCACUCCGGAUGUGCUGACCCCUGCGAGUUCCCAAAUGCGGGGAAACUCGACUGCAUAAUUUGUGGUAGUGGGGGACUGCGUUUGCGCUCUCCCCUG